UAGCGGUGAAAUGCUUAGAUAUCACGAAGAACUCCGAUUGCGAAGGCAGCCUGCUAAGCUGCAACUGACAUUGAGGCUCGAAAGUGUGGGUAUCAAACAGGAUUAGAUACCCUGGUAGUCCACACGGUAAACGAUGAAUACUCGCUGUUUGCGAUAUACGGCAAGCGGCCAAGCGAAAGCGUUAAGUAUUCCACCUGGGGAGUACGCCGGCAACGGUGAAACUCAAAGGAAUUGACGGGGGCCCGCACAAGCGGAGGAACAUGUGGCUUAAUUCGAUGAUACGCGAGGAACCUUACCCGGGCUUAAAUUGCACUCGAAUGAUCCGGAAACGGUUCAGCUAGCAAUAGCGAGUGUGAAGGUGCUGCAUGGUUGUCGUCAGCUCGUGCCGUGAGGUGUCGGCUUAAGUGCCAUAACGAGCGCAACCCUUGUUGUCAGUUACUAGCAGGUGAUGCUGAGGACUCUGACAAGACUGCCAUCGUAAGAUGUGAGGAAGGUGGGGAUGACGUCAAAUCAGCACGGCCCUUACGUCUGGGGCUACACACGUGUUACAAUGGGGGGUACAGAGGGCCGCUACCACGCGAGUGGAUGCCAAUCCCUAAAACCCCUCUCAGUUCGGACUGGAGUCUGCAACCCGACUCCACGAAGCUGGAUUCGCUAGUAAUCGCGCAUCAGCCACGGCGCGGUGAAUACGUUCCCGGGCCUUGUACACACCGCCCGUCAAGCCAUGGGAGCCGGGGGUACCUGAAGUGCGUAACCGCGAGGAUCGCCCUAGGGUAAAACUGGUGACUG
RNAcentral lists this ribosomal RNA (789 nucleotides) under uncultured organism. Its description in RNAcentral is "SSU rRNA". It matches the Rfam family "Bacterial small subunit ribosomal RNA", at positions 676 to 1477 of the family's 1533-position model. The record is from RNAcentral.